This 492-nucleotide ribosomal RNA is filed under the name uncultured bacterium. Its description in RNAcentral is "partial 16S ribosomal RNA". It matches the Rfam family "Bacterial small subunit ribosomal RNA", at positions 29 to 507 of the family's 1533-position model. The record is from RNAcentral.
AGUGAACGCUGGCGGUAGGCCUAACACAUGCAAGUCGAACGGCAGCACAGUAAGAGCUUGCUCUUACGGGUGGCGAGUGGCGGACGGGUGAGGAAUACAUCGGAAUCUACUUUUUCGUGGGUGAUAACGUAGGGAAACUUACGCUAAUACCGCAUACGACCUACGGGUGAAAGCAGGGGAUCUUCGGACCUUGCGCGAUUGAAUGAGCCGAUGUCGGAUUAGCUAGUUGGCGGGGUAAAGGCCCACCAAGGCGACGAUCCGUAGCUGGUCUGAGAGGAUGAUCAGCCACACUGGAACUGAGACACGGUCCAGACUCCUACGGGAGGCAGCAGUGGGGAAUAUUGGACAAUGGGCGCAAGCCUGAUCCAGCCAUACCGCGUGGGUGAAGAAGGCCUUCGGGUUGUAAAGCCCUUUUGUUGGGAAAGAAAAGCAGCAGGUUAAUACCCCGCUGUUCUGACGGUACCCAAAGAACAAGCACCGGCUAACUUCGUG